Molecule: unclassified non-coding RNA, 363 nt
Filed under: uncultured bacterium
Lineage: Bacteria
Description: contains 16S-23S intergenic spacer region
Source: RNAcentral
UCCCUGUUACCAGGGCAGUCUGUUUAGAAAAAUCCAACUAAACAUAAGGGUUGCGCUCGUUGCGGGACUUAACCCAACAUCUCACGACACGAGCUGACGACGGCCAUGCAACACCUGUCACUGCGUUCCCGAAGGCACAGUCUCCUUUCGGAGUCCUUCGCAGGAUGUCAAACCUUGGUAAGGUUAUCGUUUACCAUCGAAUUAAACCACACGCUCCACCGCUUGUGCGGGUCCCCGUCAAUUCCUUUGAGUUUUAGCCUUGCGGCCGUACUCCCCAGGCGGGGCACUUAAUGCGUUAGCUACGGCACGGAACCCGUCGAUAGAGUCCCACACCUAGUGCCCAACGUUUACGGCGUGGACUAC